Molecule: ribosomal RNA, 441 nt
Filed under: uncultured bacterium
Lineage: Bacteria
Description: partial 16S ribosomal RNA
Rfam family: Bacterial small subunit ribosomal RNA
Source: RNAcentral
CCUACGUGAGGCUGCAGUGGGGAAUAUUGCACAAUGGGGGCAACCCUGAUGCAGCCACGCCGCGUGAGUGAAGAAGUAUUUCGGUAUGUAAAGCUCUAUCAGCCGGGAAGAAGAAAGACGGUACCUGACUAAGAAGCCCCGGCGAACUACGUGCCAGCAGCCGCGGUAAUACGUAGGGUGGAAGCGUUAUCCGGAUUUACUGUGUGUAAGGGGAGCGUAGGCGGCGGUGCAAGUCUGAAGUGAAAGCCCGUGGCUCAACCGCGGAACUGCUUUGGAAACUGUAUAGCUUGAGUACUGGAGAGGCAGGUGGAAUUCCUAGUGUAGCGGUGAAAUGCGUAGAUAUUAGGAGGAAUACCAGUGGCGAAGGCGGCCUGCUGGACAGAAACUGACGUUGAGGUUCGAAAGCGUGGGGAGCAAACAGGAUUAGAUACCCCUGUAGUC